Molecule: ribosomal RNA, 498 nt
Filed under: uncultured bacterium
Lineage: Bacteria
Description: partial 16S ribosomal RNA
Rfam family: Bacterial small subunit ribosomal RNA
Source: RNAcentral
AUUGAACGCUGGCGGCAUGCUUUACACAUGCAAGUCGAACGGUAACAGGCCGCAAGGUGCUGACGAGUGGCGAACGGGUGAGUAAUGCAUCGGAACGUGCCCAGUCGUGGGGGAUAACGCAGCGAAAGCUGCGCUAAUACCGCAUACGAUCUAUGGAUGAAAGCGGGGGACCGUAAGGCCUCGCGCGAUUGGAGCGGCCGAUGUCAGAUUAGGUAGUUGGUGAGGUAAAGGCUCACCAAGCAAACGAUCUGUAGCUGGUCUGAGAGGACGACCAGCCACACUGGGACUGAGACACGGCCCAGACUCCUACGGGAGGCAGCAGUGGGGAAUUUUGGACAAUGGGCGCAAGCCUGAUCCAGCAAUGCCGCAUGCAGGAAGAAGGCAUUCGGGUUGUAAACUGCUUUUGUACGGAACGAAACGGUCCGGGUUAAUACCCUGGGCUAAUGACGGUACCGUAAGAAUAAGCACCGGCUAACUACGUGCCAGCAGCCGCCGUAA